Molecule: ribosomal RNA, 494 nt
Filed under: uncultured bacterium
Lineage: Bacteria
Description: partial 16S ribosomal RNA
Rfam family: Bacterial small subunit ribosomal RNA
Source: RNAcentral
GACGAACGCUGGCGGCGUGCUUAACACAUGCAAGUCGAACGGUUAUUCGCCUUCCUUUUUUGUGGGUGUGGUUGAGUGGCGAACGGGUGAGUAACACGUGAGUAACCUGCCCCCUUCUUCUGGAUAACCGCUUGAACGUGUGGCUAAUACGUGAUAUUCUGGGUCUGUCUCAUGAUGGUUCUGGGAAAGAUAUUGUUUCUGUGGGGGAUGGGCUCGCGGCCUAUCUGCUUGUUGGUGGGGUGAUGGUCUACCAAGGCGGUGACGAGUCGACGGCCUGGGAGGGUCGACGGUCAUAGGAGGAAGAAGACACCGAGAAGACUACGAGAGGAGGCAGUAGUGAAGAAUAUUGAACAAACGGAGGAAGGCUGAAGCAGCGACGCCGCGUGAGAGAAGGAGGCCGGCGGGUAGUGAACUGCUUUCGCAGGUGAAGCAGGACGGCAGCGAUUGUGGGUGGGUUGACGGUAGCUGGAUAAGAAGCGACGGCUAACUACGUG